UACAGAGGGUGCGAGCGUUAAUCGGAAUUACUGGGCGUAAAGCGCACGCAGGCGGUUGGAUAAGUUAGAUGUGAAAGCCCCGGGCUCAACCUGGGAAUUGCAUUUAAAACUGUCCAGCUAGAGUCUUGUAGAGGGGGGUAGAAUUCCAGGUGUAGCGGUGAAAUGCGUAGAGAUCUGGAGGAAUACCGGUGGCGAAGGCGGCCCCCUGGACAAAGACUGACGCUCAGGUGCGAAAGCGUGGGGAGCAAACAGG
Molecule: ribosomal RNA, 253 nt
Filed under: uncultured bacterium
Lineage: Bacteria
Description: partial 16S ribosomal RNA
Rfam family: Bacterial small subunit ribosomal RNA
Source: RNAcentral